CAGCAGUGGCAGCAGCCGGUGGCCAGACCGAGCCCCAGACUGCGGGCAAAGCUGGCACACGCGGGGGCCGACGGACUCUGAGGAAGCUGUGGCCACAUCGCCUCUGCUCUCGACACAACACACAUGCUGAGGCUCAGAGAGGGCGAGCCAUGAGCUGAAGGUCACCAGGCAGGAAGAGGCAGGCUGCACUGGGGCUUCGGCUUGGGUUUGGCUAAGUCACUCUUUUAGGAGGAGGAAGCACAUGUUUUUAUGACUCUGGAGCCUCCGGAGCCACCGCUUUCCGACCCACGUGGAGCUUCCGCUUCUUUUCCGUAUAUAAAUCGCUUCCCCAACUCCAUGCCAAAGAGAACUCCAAAUAACGACACGAGCUUAGCUUUUGCUUUAGAAGUUUCUAGAAUUUAGCUGAUGCUAUUGGAGCGGUCGUGAACUGAUGCGGUCCCUGUGGGGAGUGACUGGAUGAGUUCGAGCCCGACUUGGACAUUUCUCCAGUCCUCUGCGGUUCCAGUUGAGAAAGCAACCCACGCUGCCAGAGGGUAGAGGAGUGGACCCGGAAAUGACAAGUGACAGUUCCUCAGCAGUAGCAUCGCCUGCAUUCCCAGCCUGGUGACCUGACACAGCAGCAGGCCCACUGGGCACCUGUGCCCACCUGGGGACAGGGUUUUGUCCUGCCUGUGUGGCCCUUCCUGUCCCUGACAGCCAUCUCGAGAGACGGCCAGUGAGCACAGGGCAACAGGCAGUGCAUGUUCUUUCCACGUCUCCAUGACUGAUUCGGGCCAGGAGGAGGCUGGUUUUCCAGAUCCCACCAACAUCACAUACGGGACCUUUCCAAUCUACCCGCUACCUCCCCUCUGGUCGUGACUUGAUUCUGGAAUUUAAGAAGUGGAGAAACAGCCUAGUUCAAAUACAAGAAUUUCCACCUAAAACCACAGCACAGAGAGGCCCCUUUAAAAACCACCUAACCCGGCUCUUUCAUCAAACAGAUGAAGAAACUUACCUAAGGAUGUUAAGUGGUUUGCCUAAAUUGCAAAGCCUGAUAUAUGGGAAAAUACUUCCAGGGGAAAUAAGAAAAUGAUCAAUUAAAAAAAAUUUUUAAUGAGGCUCUAAUUCCUAAAAAAUGACUUACUUAAACUGGGGACUGGGCAGAAAAUAAUAUUGUAGAAGGCACAACAGCAUUUCUUUGGGAAGAUUUAUCUUUUGAAGCAUAUAGUGGUCUUCUACAACUAUGCUACAACAGGUUGCAGGACAAAUCCUGUAUUUUAAUUUUUCAGGGAGUCUUUGUGUAAGUCAGACCUUAUUCAUUUUGAUUCCAACAACAAUCACAGCCAUUGGAUCCUAAUUAUUGCAUCUAAUAAGGCCGAUGGCUAAUCAGCUUGCCUUUUUAAGAGAAAAAAACACAAGCUUACUUUUAUUUGUUAUAUAACACAAAUGACAUUCCAUUAUAAGUUUCUGCUGCAAAAGAAAGUUGGGAAAUUUGUUUAGAUACUUUAAAUAGUCCUAAGACAUUAGCUGAAAUGCUGGUAACAAACGUGCAAUGAACAUUUUCUUGGGGGCAUUCAGCAACAAAGUGAAUCGCCCUUAAAAAAAAUCCAUACAACGAAAGCGAGUCUCACCACAGGAACCACAGCAGCUGUUUUAGUGACGGGCUGGAGUGUCUGUUCCAGGCGACACUUUUGCGGCUGUUGCUGCAUUAGUCAGAUUGCACUCGAGAUGAAUAAGGAAGAAUAAAGUCUUUACCAAAAA
Molecule: long non-coding RNA, 1740 nt
Organism: Piliocolobus tephrosceles (Ugandan red Colobus)
Lineage: Eukaryota; Metazoa; Chordata; Mammalia; Primates; Cercopithecidae
Exons: 2
Source: RefSeq, a predicted model, not a curated record